This 309-nucleotide unclassified non-coding RNA is filed under the name plant metagenome. RNAcentral describes it as "partial contains 5.8S ribosomal RNA, internal transcribed spacer 2, and large subunit ribosomal RNA". The stretch from base 1 to 105 matches the Rfam family "5.8S ribosomal RNA", at positions 50 to 154 of the family's 154-position model. The record is from RNAcentral.
GAAAUGCGAUAAGUAGUGUGAAUUGCAGAAUUCAGUGAAUCAUCGAAUCUAUGAACGCACAUUGCGCCCCUUGGUAUUCCAUGGGGCAUGCCUGUUCGAGCGUCAUUUGUACCCUCAAGCUCUGCUUGGUGUUGGGUGUUUGUCCCGUCUCCGCGCGUGGACUCGCCCCAAAGUGAUUGGCAGCCGGCGUACUGGUCCCGGAGCGCAGCACAUGUCGCGCAAACGAGUGCCUUGGUACGGCGGCGUCCAUAAGCCCCUCUCUCACGCUCUUGACCUCGGAUCAGGUAGGGAUACCCGCUGAACUUAAGC